CCCUUAGAUGUCCUGGGCUGCACGCGCGCUACACUGAUGUGUCCAGUAAGCACCUAACCUCUUCCGAAAGGAACGGGUAACCUUUGCAAAGCACAUCGUGAUGGGGAUAGAUUAUUGCAAUUAUUAGUCUUGAACGAGGAAUUCCUAGUAAGCACAAGUCAUCAGCUUGUGUUGAUUACGUCCCUGCCCUUUGUACACACCGCCCGUCGCUCCUACCGAUUGAAUGUUCCGGUUAGCUCUUCGGACUGCGCGGUCUGCAGUUUCUGCGUUCCGUGCGGAAAGUUGCGCAAACCUUAACAUUUAGAGGAAGGAGAAGUCGUAACA
Molecule: ribosomal RNA, 324 nt
Filed under: uncultured eukaryote
Lineage: Eukaryota
Description: partial 18S ribosomal RNA
Rfam family: Eukaryotic small subunit ribosomal RNA
Source: RNAcentral